Oryctolagus cuniculus (rabbit) is the source of this 1807-nucleotide long non-coding RNA. The record is from Ensembl. Lineage: Eukaryota; Metazoa; Chordata; Mammalia; Lagomorpha; Leporidae.
GAGUGUGCACAGCCAAGGAGGCUGCGCCGCCCCUGGGGGACCUCACCCGGAGGAAAUCCCACCCAUCUCGGGGUUCUGCUGAGGCACUGGCCCAGCACCCUUGGAGGGGCAGCAUCUCCCGCCCUGCUGCCUGCUGGCGGCAGAAGUCAGGUUCCCACGGCUGCCUUCCCCCUGGAGUUUUCCACUAAGUCAGGCCCAGAAGCGCUCGGCGAGCGCGGGGACUGUGCCGGAAGUGAGUGGGCAGGCACGGGGUGGGCGCUGCUGGCGCUGGGAGGCCGCAGGAGGUGGCACUCUCCAGGUUCCUGCGGGUUGUCCUGGGGGGCCAGCGGGCUCCUCUGCCCCAGCCUGGCGGGUUGUCCUCGGGGGGGGGCCAGCGGGCUCCUCUGCCCCAGCCUGGCCUCGAGCAGGAAGCAGAGCUGGCCUUGGCGCCUGCACUGCAGGAAAGGGCCCUCGAGGGUGACAUCACCCAGGUCCCGGCUUCAGGGACAGCGCGGAAGCUGCCAAGGGGCCCUCAGCUCCUGGCGGGGGCACCGUCCCUACCGACACCAGGGGGCAGGCUGGGCUUCCUGGGGCGCCGACCUUUGGCCCUACCGGCGGAUUAAAGCCACAGCCAAGCCGCGGCCAAACCCGCCCCAUGCCCGGGUGACCCCGCAACCACAGCAGGACCCGGUCCCCCGGGCCCUCCUCCCGGGAUGGGCCCCCCAGGAGCUGGGAGGGUGGCUGACGCCAGUCCUAGGAGAUGGGGGGGCUGUGCCCAAGGCGGUCACCGCCUUCACACACAGGAGGGGUCAAGCUACCCGAUCCCCUCCCCCCGCCACCACCACUUUAAACCAAGACGCUCAGGGCGCUCCCCGCGCCGCAGGGCCCAGUUCUGAGCGUCAGGAACCGUGUCCAGAGCUGCUCAUCCGGGCCCCACAGAUCGGGGACCGGAAUCCAGAAUGUUCUCCCCCAGAGCGGCGCCCCCUGGGGAGCGCUGGGGGUCUGCCCUAAGGUCACCGUGGGGACAGGCCAGGGGCCCUGCAGGAGUCGCUGGCGCAACGCCCCCAGCCUCGCCCAGGGAGGGGCCGGAGUUGGGGACCCUCGGAAAGCCACAGGCGGGACAGUGCCAAGGCCGGGAGACCCGGGGGCCACCCCUCCUCCUCUUCACCGCCCCUCCGCUGCCACCCGCUCCUCGCAGAAGCCACCUAACGUCCCACCGCAGCGCGGCCCUGGGCUUCCCGGGGAGCCUGUCCCGGCCUCGCAGCGGGCCAGGCCUCUGCGUCCCGACGCCCCCUAUCCGCCGGCCCAGCCGGGAGCCCCAACACUAGGUGAGGGGUCCCGCAAAGCGGCAGGACGGCGCAGGGGGGCGGGCGGGGCUGUGCUUCGCGUGGAAACUCGGCGAGAGUGCACGCACCCCCAGCAGCACGGACUGCGGGGCGGGGCUGCGCGCACAAGCGGGCUCACGCACGCCCGGAUCCGUGUACACAGCCACAGUGCGGACAUCCUCGGGCCCCAACACGUCCUCGAGGUCGUCCACGCAGGGAUGAGUGGAAACCAGGAGCUCGUGAGGCCCGGGCGGCGCGGACGCGGCGAUGCACACGCGGAAAGGCGCACGCCCCAGGGUUGCACACGCGAGGCCCCGCGGGAGGCGGUGGGGACGCCCCUCUGACCCCCGUACGUGGCCGCCGCCGCGGCCUCUGGGCGCCAUCUUCGGCCCGCGGGCAGCGGAAGGACGGAAGGACUCGCAGCACGCGCAGCGCCCGAGCUCGGGCCUUUGUUGUCGCGGCUUCCGGGCGUCCAUCACGCGGAGGCCGCGCACGCCGGGGCC